This 628-nucleotide ribosomal RNA is filed under the name uncultured Oscillatoria sp. RNAcentral describes it as "bacterial SSU rRNA". It matches the Rfam family "Bacterial small subunit ribosomal RNA", at positions 153 to 813 of the family's 1533-position model. The record is from RNAcentral. Lineage: Bacteria; Bacillati; Cyanobacteriota; Cyanophyceae; Oscillatoriales; Oscillatoriaceae.
GAAACGACUGCUAAUACCGGAUGUGCCUACGGGUGAAAGAUUUAUUGCCAGAAGAUGAGCUCGCGUCUGAUUAGCUAGUUGGUGGGGUAAAAGCCUACCAAGGCGACGAUCAGUAGCUGGUCUGAGAGGAUGAGCAGCCACACUGGGACUGAGACACGGCCCAGACUCCUACGGGAGGCAGCAGUGGGGAAUUUUCCGCAAUGGGCGAAAGCCUGACGGAGCAAGACCGCGUGAGGGAGGAAGGCCUUUGGGUUGUAAACCUCUUUUGUCAGGGAAGAACACAAUGACGGUACCUGACGAAUCAGCCUCGGCUAACUCCGUGCCAGCAGCCGCGGUAAUACGGAGGAGGCAAGCGUUAUCCGGAAUCAUUGGGCGUAAAGCGUCCGUAGGUGGCGAAGUAAGUCUGCUGUCAAAGACCACAGCUUAACUGUGGAAAGGCAGUGGAAACUGCAGCGCUAGAGUGCGGUAGGGGUAGAGGGAAUUCCAGGUGUAGCGGUGAAAUGCGUAGAGCUCUGGAAGAACACCGGUGGCGAAAGCGCUCUACUGGGCCGAAACUGACACUGAGGGACGAAAGCUAGGGGAGCGAAAGGGAUUAGAUACCCCUGUAGUCCUAGCCGUAAACGAUGGA